GCAGUUUCAUUGAUGCAAAGCUUAAUUGUACAUGUAACAAAAAGAGAUUUGCUUUCAUCAUUUAUGGUGGUAACAGAAGGAAAUAUGAACACAAUAUCUCAUGAAAUUAGGGGUUAAGUUUUAAUCUUGGUUAUUAUGUCUUUACCUUAAGCACUGGGAGACAUACUGCUCAAGUUGUAUUUCUUCUCUUGCUUUUAAUAAGCUCGUUUAUUGGACAUAUUAUGGUAAUUGGUUGUCUGUCUGUUGCCAACAUGUCACCAUUAAUUCAAAAACACUUUAACCAAUUUGCAUAAAACUUUGGGGAAACAUUCAUACAUUUGUGUAAAUACCACAGUCAUAUCCAUUCAGCCGUGUCAAUACCACAGUCACACCCAUUCAGCUGUGUGAAAACCACAGUCAUAUACAUUCAGCCAUGUAAAUACCACAGUCACACCAAUUCAGCUAUGUGAAUACCAGAGUCAUAUCCAUUCAGCUGUGUAAAUACCACAGUCACACCCAUUCAGCUGUGUAAAUACCA
RNAcentral lists this long non-coding RNA (517 nucleotides) under Mytilus galloprovincialis (Mediterranean mussel). Lineage: Eukaryota; Metazoa; Mollusca; Bivalvia; Mytilida; Mytilidae. The record is from RNAcentral.